CAGUAGCCGCGGUAAUACGAAGGGUGCAAGCGUUACUCGGAAUUACUGGGCGUAAAGCGUGCGUAGGUGGCGGUUUAAGUCCGUUGUGAAAGCCCUGGGCUCAACCUGGGAAUUGCAGUGGAUACUGGGUCACUAGAGUGUGGUAGAGGAUAGUGGAAUUUCCGGUGUAGCAGUGAAAUGCGUAGAGAUCGGAAGGAACAUCUGUGGCGAAGGCGACUAUCUGGGCCAACACUGACACUGAGGCACGAAAGCGUGGGGAGCAAACAGGAUUAGAUACCCGCGUAGUCCCUGUCUCUUAUAC
Molecule: ribosomal RNA, 301 nt
Filed under: uncultured bacterium
Lineage: Bacteria
Description: partial 16S ribosomal RNA
Rfam family: Bacterial small subunit ribosomal RNA
Source: RNAcentral